CCUACGGGAGGCUGCAGUGGGGAAUAUUGCACAAUGGGGGAAACCCUGAUGCAGCGACGCCGCGUGAGUGAAGAAGGUUUUCGGAUUGUAAACCUCUAUCAUUAGGGAAGAAAAUGACGGUACCUAACGAAUAAGCACCGGCUAACUACGUGCCAGCAGCCGCGGUAAUACGUAGGGUGCAAGCGUUAUCCGGAAUUACUGGGGGUAAAGGGCGCGUAGGCGGGGCUGCAAGUCCGAAGUGAAAUCCCAUGGCUUAACCAUGGUACUGCAUUUGAAACUGUUGUUCUAGAGUGUGGGAGGGGCAGGCGGAAUUCUUAGUGUAGCGGUAAAAUGCGUAGAGAUUAGGAGGAACAC
Molecule: ribosomal RNA, 354 nt
Filed under: uncultured bacterium
Lineage: Bacteria
Description: partial 16S ribosomal RNA
Rfam family: Bacterial small subunit ribosomal RNA
Source: RNAcentral